UAGGGAAUCUUCCGCAAUGGACGAAAGUCUGACGGAGCAACGCCGCGUGAGUGAGGAAGGCCUUCGGGUCGUAAAGCUCUGUUGUGAGGGAAGAAGCGGUACCGUUCGAAUAGGGCGGUACCUUGACGGUACCUCACCAGAAAGCCACGGCUAACUACGUGCCAGCAGCCGCGGUAAUACGUAGGUGGCAAGCGUUGUCCGGAAUUAUUGGGCGUAAAGCGCGCGCAGGCGGCUUCUUAAGUCUGAUGUGAAAUCUCGGGGCUCAACCCCGAGCGGCCAUUGGAAACUGGGGAGCUUGAGUGCAGAAGAGGAGAGUGGAAUUCCACGUGUAGCGGUGAAAUGCGUAGAGAUGUGGAGGAACACCAGUGGCGAAGGCGACUCUCUGGUCUGUAACUGACGCUGAGGCGCGAAAGCGUGGGGAGCAAACAGG
RNAcentral lists this ribosomal RNA (430 nucleotides) under uncultured bacterium. RNAcentral's name for it is "partial 16S ribosomal RNA". It matches the Rfam family "Bacterial small subunit ribosomal RNA", at positions 355 to 776 of the family's 1533-position model. The record is from RNAcentral. RNAcentral also lists the same sequence under 2 other names.